CAAAGGGUUCUUUUUAGAACCAUCAUAUUUUUGGACGAAGGAAUACU
Molecule: non-coding RNA, 47 nt
Organism: Atta cephalotes
Lineage: Eukaryota; Metazoa; Arthropoda; Insecta; Hymenoptera; Formicidae
Source: Rfam